Molecule: ribosomal RNA, 253 nt
Filed under: uncultured bacterium
Lineage: Bacteria
Description: partial 16S ribosomal RNA
Rfam family: Bacterial small subunit ribosomal RNA
Source: RNAcentral
UACGUAGGUGACCAGCGUUGUCCGGAUUUACUGGGCGUAAAGAGCGCGCAGGCGGUCGUUCAAGUCGGGUGUGAAAGCCCCCGGCUCAACUGGGGAGGGUCAUUCGAUACUGAUCGACUUGAAGGCAGGAGAGGGAAGUGGAAUUCCCGGUGUAGUGGUGAAAUGCGUAGAUAUCGGGAGGAACACCAGUGGCGAAGGCGACUACCUGGCCUGUUCUUGACGCUGAGGCGCGAAAGCGAGGGGAGCAAACGGG